CCCUUAGAUGUUCUGGGCCGCACGCGUGCUACACUGAGUGGAUCAGCGGGUCAGGUUGCGCGAAAGCGUUUCCUAAUCUUUAAAUCCGCUCGUGAUGGGGAUUGACGGUUGCAAUUUUCUGUCAUGAACGAGGAAUACCUUGUAAGCGCGGGUCAUCAUCCCGCGCUGAAUACGUCCCUGCCCUUUGUACACACCGCCCGUCGCUCCUACCGAUUGAGUGGUCCGGUGAGGCUUUGGGAUCUGAGCGGAAAGAGCGUUUCGCUGUUUCUGCUCGGAAAACUCAGUCGAAUCUUAUCAUUUAGAGGAAGGAGAAGUCGUAACA
RNAcentral lists this ribosomal RNA (322 nucleotides) under uncultured eukaryote. RNAcentral's name for it is "partial 18S ribosomal RNA". It matches the Rfam family "Eukaryotic small subunit ribosomal RNA", at positions 1470 to 1796 of the family's 1831-position model. The record is from RNAcentral.